CUCAAAAACACAGUUCUUGUGUUAAAGUCACGUUUGUUGAACUACUGUAGAGUAAACUGCUGAAUGUGUAAAGAUGCUAGACACUAUAGUUGUGAUUUUACUGUAAAAACAUGUUUUAUUUUGUAUAGAUAACAGGGAGCUCUAGUAAACACACAUAACUUAAUUCUCCGAAGAGGAUACAUCUUAAAGAUGCUUACUAAAUGUUUAUUCAACAUCUGACAGGAAAAUAUUAAGAAUAUAUAAAGUAUUAUGACUUAUGCAUGAUGGAUUAUGUUCCAUGAGUGAUGUGUGUGUGCUAUUAUGUAGAAUUCACUGUUGUCAACACUGUUUACAUUACAUGAAUGCAAGUAAUGUAAAUAAACAAAUGUACACUUAACUAGACAGACAUAAGUUAUCUAUUUUAUUUGUCCGUUAGUACGUUUAAUAAAACAAGGAACAUUUGUGUUGGAUAAAAAGUGAGUUAAAACAAAUCUUCAACUACCUCAAAAUUUAAGGAUUUGUAGAUUUGAGCACAUAAAUCUCAGAGGAAACUUGAAUCUUGUCUGAUGUUACAGGGACAGAAAUUAAUACAAAGUCUAUUUAAAUCUUAAGUUGUAGUUUAUUUUAAUUAUUGUAAUUUCAAACAGAGUUAUUACAGCACUUUUCUGAUUCUUGAUAUCUGUGCAUUUGUUGCAGAGCUUUGUGGUGGAGCAGGACCUGUGAGGAAAGAUGACAGUGGCAUUUGUGAAAAAAAGAAAAAAAAAAAGGAAAACCUGAAACAAAAAUAUAAAGAUGUGAAUGUCCUCAGACGGGUGUGAGCACUGAGGAUGGAGAGACACAGCAGAUCCUGGGAAUGGUUCAGUGUCAUGGAUGAGAUCCUCCAUCACUCCUCCUGCCCUUACUGCCUCAUCUGACCUGAUGUUGAUGUGAUUUCUUCAUCCUCAGUGAGUCCAGAGCCAGCGAGAGCAUCUAGACAAAGACCAAAGGACAGUGAGGAUGUGAUUUUG
Megalobrama amblycephala (Wuchang bream) is the source of this 986-nucleotide long non-coding RNA. RefSeq lists it as uncharacterized. Lineage: Eukaryota; Metazoa; Chordata; Actinopteri; Cypriniformes; Xenocyprididae. The record is from RefSeq and is a predicted model, not a curated record. The transcript is spliced from 2 exons.